This 203-nucleotide long non-coding RNA is filed under the name Daucus carota (carrot). RNAcentral describes it as "long non-coding RNA (DCAR_LNC001029)". Lineage: Eukaryota; Viridiplantae; Streptophyta; Magnoliopsida; Apiales; Apiaceae. The record is from RNAcentral.
AUUUGGGUCAUUGUUGAGAUAAAGAAGAUGAAGCGAGAAAAUAGAUAUGAUCUUGGAUUUGAUAGUUGUGUAUCUGAUGGAAAUUAUAGCUUGGGGAGGCGUUAAUAUAUAGAGAGUAAGUGUAGGUAUACGAAGGGUCACUACGCGUAGGGAUAAUUAUUACAAAUGCAUGCAAUAUUUAUACACAUAUCUAUGCAAGAAAC